GACGAACGCUGGCGGCGUGCUUAACACAUGCAAGUCGAACGAUGAACCCGGAGCUUGCUCCGGUGGAUUAGUGGCGAACGGGUGAGUAACACGUGAGUAACCUGCCCUUGACUCUGGGAUAACUGCGGGAAACUGUAGCUAAUACCGGAUACGACCCUCGGCGGCAUCGCCAGGGGGUGGAAAGAAUUUCGGUCAAGGAUGGACUCGCGGCGGAUCAGCUAGUUGGUGAGGUAACGGCUCACCAAGGCGACGACGGGGAGCCGGCCUGAGAGGGUGACCGGCCACACUGGAACUGAGACACGGCCCAGACUCCUACGGGGGGCAGUAGUGGGGAAGAUUGCACAAUGGGCGCAAGCCUGGUGCAGCAACGCCGCGUGAGGGAUGACGGCCUUCGGGUUGUAAACCUCUUUUAGUAGGGAAGAAGCGAAAGUGACGGUACCUGCAGAAAAAGCACCGGCUAACUACGUGCCAGCCGCCGCAGUAA
RNAcentral lists this ribosomal RNA (484 nucleotides) under uncultured bacterium. RNAcentral's name for it is "partial 16S ribosomal RNA". It matches the Rfam family "Bacterial small subunit ribosomal RNA", at positions 28 to 523 of the family's 1533-position model. The record is from RNAcentral.